UGGGGAAUUUUGGACAAUGGGCGAAAGCCUGAUCCAGCAAUGCCGCGUGUGUGAAGAGGGCCUUCGGGUUGUAAAGCACUUUUGUCCGGAAAGAAAUCCUUGGCUCUAAUACAGUCGGGGGAUGACGGUACCGGAAGAAUAAGCACCGGCUAACUACGUGCCAGCAGCCGCGGUAAUACGUAGGGUGCAAGCGUUAAUCGGAAUUACUGGGCGUAAAGCGUGCGCAGGCGGUUUGCUAAGACCGAUGUGAAAUCCCCGGGCUCAACCUGGGAACUGCAUUGGUGACUGGCAGGCUAGAGUAUGGCAGAGGGGGGUAGAAUUCCACGUGUAGCAGUGAAAUGCGUAGAGAUGUGGAGGAAUACCGAUGGCGAAGGCAGCCCCCUGGGCCAAUACUGACGCUCAUGCACGAAAAGCGUGGGGAGCAAAACAGGAUUAGAUACCCUGGUAGUCCACGCCCUAAAACGAUGUCAACUAGUUGUUGGGGAUUCAUUUCCUUAGUAACGUAGCUAACGCGUGAAGUUGACCGCCUGGGGAGUACGGUCGCAAAGAUUAAAAACUCAAAAUGAAUUGACGGGGUCAUAGCUGUUUCCU
Molecule: ribosomal RNA, 591 nt
Filed under: uncultured bacterium
Lineage: Bacteria
Description: partial 16S ribosomal RNA
Rfam family: Bacterial small subunit ribosomal RNA
Source: RNAcentral